Molecule: ribosomal RNA, 492 nt
Filed under: uncultured bacterium
Lineage: Bacteria
Description: partial 16S ribosomal RNA
Rfam family: Bacterial small subunit ribosomal RNA
Source: RNAcentral
AGUGAACGCUGGCGGUAGGCCUAACACAUGCAAGUCGAACGGCAGCACAGUAAGAGCUUGCUCUUACGGGUGGCGAGUGGCGGACGGGUGAGGAAUACAUCGGAAUCUACUUUUUCGUGGGGGAUAACGUAGGGAAACUUACGCUAAUACCGCAUACGACCUACGGGUGAAAGCAGGGGAUCUUCGGACCUUGCGCGAUUGAAUGAGCCGAUGUCGGAUUAGCUAGUUGGCGGGGUAAAGGCCCACCAAGGCGACGAUCCGUAGCUGGUCUGAGAGGAUGAUCAGCCACACUGGAACUGAGACACGGUCCAGACUCCUCCGGGAGGCAGCAGUGGGGAAUAUUGGACAAUGGGCGCAAGCCUGAUCCAGCCAUACCGCGUGGGUGAAGAAGGCCUUCGGGUUGUAAAGCCCUUUUGCUGGGAAAGAAAAGCAGCAGGUUAAUACCCCGCUGUUCUGACGGUACCCAAAGAAUAAGCACCGGCUAACUUCGUG